UUCAGAUGUCUUGCAUAACAGGAGGGUCGGGGUCCUGUAAUAACCAGUGGUCCAUUGUGUUCCUUUGAUGUUGCAACUAGGACUCAGUUCACUUGCUCGUCCAACAGAAAAUUAUGUAUUUACCUGCUUGUAUGAUCGAGUAUGUUGUUUUGUUACUUGAUCAUGUCUGCCUGUUAGUGAGUUGGUUAAUCUGGUGGCUCUUUCAAGUGUCAUUUUGUUCUCUCAGCUAUCUCGAUUGCUUUGUCUGGAAAAUUUUUUCUGAUUGAUCGAGCCUCUUCUAAUAUGGCCUUCAGUUCCUGAGGCCAUCUGUUCUGCUACUGCUUUUUGUGCUUGUUGAUCAAGCAAUAUGAGCAUGACAACUACCGCAUCUACUGAUCAUGCUAUACACUUGAUGAUCCAACUGCUAGUUUUUGAAAUUAGUGUUCAAACUCCAAUUGCUCUCUCUCAUAGCAUCUUGAGUUAGAAAGGGAGUGUGAAAGGAAAGUAUAUAUGCUUA
Molecule: long non-coding RNA, 496 nt
Filed under: Amborella trichopoda
Lineage: Eukaryota; Viridiplantae; Streptophyta; Magnoliopsida; Amborellales; Amborellaceae
Description: long non-coding RNA (ATRI_LNC003599)
Source: RNAcentral